UACAGAGGGGGCAAGCGUUAUUCGGAAUUACUGGGCGUAAAGGGCUCGUAGGCGGCCAACUAAGUCAGACGUGAAAUCCCUCGGCUUAACCGGGGAACUGCGUCUGAUACUGGAUGGCUUGAGUCUGGGAGAGGGAUGCGGAAUUCCAGGUGUAGCGGUGAAAUGCGUAGAUAUCUGGAGGAACACCGGUGGCGAAGGCGGCAUCCUGGACCGACACUGACACUGAGGAGCGAAAGCCAGGGGAGCAAACGGG
RNAcentral lists this ribosomal RNA (253 nucleotides) under uncultured bacterium. RNAcentral's name for it is "partial 16S ribosomal RNA". It matches the Rfam family "Bacterial small subunit ribosomal RNA", at positions 524 to 776 of the family's 1533-position model. The record is from RNAcentral.